Molecule: unclassified non-coding RNA, 505 nt
Filed under: Hevea brasiliensis (rubber tree)
Lineage: Eukaryota; Viridiplantae; Streptophyta; Magnoliopsida; Malpighiales; Euphorbiaceae
Source: RNAcentral
CUUUUUUUGCCUUAUUAACAAAAUUUCCACAAUCUGGACUUGUGUCAAAGUGAAAAACCGACAGAAAUUUCAAAACUGAAAUUUCAGAGGAAAUUUAUUUGAUUUUAUCUGCAUAUAGCUUGUGAUCUUGACAUCUGACAUGCAAGACAGCCGCAGAAAACAUUUCCUACAACUGUGAUCAUCAACAUGGUAAUGAAAUAAAUCCCAGAUUAAUGCAGCUAAGCACAAGCCAUACAUAUAAGGCAUGACCACAAUCUUCUGUGAUGACAUUAAUUUACUGUUCAUGAAGAUGCUGAGCAAGUGAGCAUGCCUUUCACAUACAAUCUUCAAUAACAGUUGGAGAAAUUCAAACAAUAUCUGCAAGUAUCUGAAGUUCUGAACCCUGAAGGUUUUUAGGGAAAAGCGUAUUGUUUGGUCUAAAUUUUCCUGCCGGUUUAUGCAUCACCUCACUAUCCCAUAUUGUCUAAUCAGAUGCUGAGGAAGCCCUUCUCCUUCAAGCUUUCAA